RNAcentral lists this ribosomal RNA (253 nucleotides) under uncultured bacterium. RNAcentral describes it as "partial 16S ribosomal RNA". It matches the Rfam family "Bacterial small subunit ribosomal RNA", at positions 524 to 776 of the family's 1533-position model. The record is from RNAcentral.
UACGUAGGGGGCGAGCGUUGCCCGAAUUUACUGGGCGUAAAGGGCACGUAGGCGGUUCCGUAAGUCUGGUGUGAAAUCUCUCGGCUCAACUGGGAGGCUGCACCAGAUACUGCGGAACUCGAGGACGGGAGAGGAGAUUGGAAUUCCCGGUGUAGCGGUGAAAUGCGUUGAUAUCGGGAGGAACACCAGUGGCGAAGGCGGAUCUCUGGCCCGUUCCUGACGCUAAGGUGCGAAAGCUGGGGGAGCGAAAGGG